RNAcentral lists this ribosomal RNA (460 nucleotides) under uncultured bacterium. RNAcentral describes it as "bacterial SSU rRNA". It matches the Rfam family "Bacterial small subunit ribosomal RNA", at positions 28 to 510 of the family's 1533-position model. The record is from RNAcentral.
GAUGAACGCUGACAGAAUGCUUAACACAUGCAAGUCUACUUGAAACACUUUCGGGUGUGGAUGGUGGCGGACGGGUGAGUAACGCGUAAAGAACUUGCCCCUUAGCCUGGGACAACUGUUGGAAACGACAGCUAAUACCGGAUAUUAUGAGACUCUGGCAUCAGAGACUUAUGAAAGCUAUAUGCGCUAAGGGAGAGCUUUGCGUCCUAUUAGCUAGUUGGUGAGGUAAUGGCUCACCAAGGCGACGAUAGGUAGCCGGCCUGAGAGGGUGAACGGCCACAAGGGGACUGAGACACGGCCCUUACUCCUACGGGAGGCAGCAGUGGGGAAUAUUGGACAAUGGACCAAAAGUCUGAUCCAGCAAUUCUGUGUGCUUGAUGAAGGCCUUCGGUGUAAGAGCUUAAGUAGGUAAGAGAAAGUGACGGUACUACAGAAUAAGNGACGGCGUAAAUACGUAGCC